This 406-nucleotide ribosomal RNA is filed under the name uncultured bacterium. RNAcentral describes it as "partial 16S ribosomal RNA". It matches the Rfam family "Bacterial small subunit ribosomal RNA", at positions 30 to 526 of the family's 1533-position model. The record is from RNAcentral.
AUUGAACGCUGGCGGCAGGCCUAACACAUGCAAGUCGAACGAGUGGCGGACGGGUGAGUAAUGUCUGGGAAACUGCCCGAUGGAGGGGGAUAACUACUGGAAACGGUAGCUAAUACCGCAUACCAUCGGAUGUGCCCAGUUGGGAUUAGCUAGUAGGUGGGCUAACGGAUCACCUAGGCGACGAUACCUAGCUGGUCUGAGAGGAUGACCAGCCAAGCUGGGAUUGAGAGGCGGUCCAGACUCCUACGGGAGGCGGCAGUGGAGAAUGUUGCACAGUGAGCGCAAGCCUAGUGCGGCCAUGCCGAGUGUAUGGAGGAGGCCUUCGGGUUGUAAGGUACUUUCAGCGAGAAGGCGUUACUCGCAGAAGAAGCGCCGGCUAACUCCGUACCAGCAGCCGCGGUAAUAC